UACGGGGGGGGUAAGCGUUGUUCGGAAUUACUGGGCGUAAAGGGCUCGUAGGCGGCCAACUAAGUCAUACGUGAAAUCCCUCAGCUUAACUGGGGAACUGCGUGUGAUACUGGAUGGCUUGGAUUUGGGAGAGGGAUGCGGAAUUCCAGGUGUAGCGGUGAAAUGCGUAGAUAUCUGGAGGAACACCAGCGGCGAAGGCGGCUUUCUGGACCAAUACUGACGCUGAGACGCGAAAGCGUGGGGAGCAAACAGG
Molecule: ribosomal RNA, 253 nt
Filed under: uncultured bacterium
Lineage: Bacteria
Description: partial 16S ribosomal RNA
Rfam family: Bacterial small subunit ribosomal RNA
Source: RNAcentral